RNAcentral lists this unclassified non-coding RNA (287 nucleotides) under Hevea brasiliensis (rubber tree). Lineage: Eukaryota; Viridiplantae; Streptophyta; Magnoliopsida; Malpighiales; Euphorbiaceae. The record is from RNAcentral.
GCGAUUUGGAUCUUCCCACUUAAUAAUAUAUGAUAAAUUCACACACACUGUUAUGCUACAGAUUCACUAGUCUUAGUCUACAGUUUAGAACUUGCUGUACUAAAUUCUUUACAAGGGGUGACUGGAAACAAAAUAUGACCAUCACCAAGUAGGACUAACUAACAAUCCUUGCUGUUUUCCUACCUUUAUCUAGAGUUCUAGACCUAAAGAUCAAACAACAAGUCCUUCUGGGAUGCCGAUGCCCGAUACCAUAUGUCCAUAUCUAACCAUCUAGUUCCAACCGCGUC